UGAGGAAUUUUCCGCAAUGGGCUAACGCCUGACGGAGCAAUGCCGCGUGGAGGAGGAAGGCCUGUGGGUCGUAAACUCCUUUUCUCAGAGAAGAAGUUCUGACGGUAUCUGAGGAAUAAGCAUCGGCUAACUCCGUGCCAGCAGCCGCGGUAAUACGGGGGAUGCAAGCGUUAUCCGGAAUUAUUGGGCGUAAAGCGUCCCGAGGUGGCUUACCUAGUCGACUGUGAAAGCUCAAGGCUUAACCUUGAAACUGCAGUCGAAACUUGUAAGCUUGAGUACGGUAGAGGCAGAGGGAAUUCCCGGAGGAGAGGUGAAAUUCGUAGAUAUCGGGAGGAAGGCCAAAGGCGAAAGCACUCUGCUGGGCCGAUUACUGACACUAACAGACGAAAGCUAGGGGAGCGAAAGGG
This 407-nucleotide ribosomal RNA is filed under the name uncultured bacterium. RNAcentral describes it as "bacterial SSU rRNA". It matches the Rfam family "Bacterial small subunit ribosomal RNA", at positions 355 to 776 of the family's 1533-position model. The record is from RNAcentral.